Molecule: unclassified non-coding RNA, 425 nt
Filed under: soil metagenome
Description: partial contains 5.8S ribosomal RNA, internal transcribed spacer 2, and large subunit ribosomal RNA
Rfam family: 5.8S ribosomal RNA (bases 1-120)
Source: RNAcentral
GAUGAAGAACGCAGCGAAAUGCGAUAAGUAGUGUGAAUUGCAGAAUUCAGUGAAUCAUCGAAUCUUUGAACGCACAUUGCGCCCCUUGGUAUCCCGAGGGGCAUGCCUGUUCGAGAGUCAUUAACAACCGUUUCGAUCCCUUUCUUUCAGAAAUUACAAAGAGGAAAAGGGUUUGGUUAUGGUGGAGGAGGGAAAGGGAGCGUUUAGCCUGUAAAAAAAGAGGCUGUGUUCCGCCUCCCCCCCAAAAUUGUACAGGCGGUCGUGUGCGCCCACGCAUCGAGGUGUUGUAAAAGCUGCCACGGCACUUUUCACCUGUGCAGUGCGAGAUUGGCCAGCCGGUUUAAAAACCCCUCCAAACAAUCAAAGGUUGACCUCGGAUCAGGUAGGGAUACCCGCUGAACUUAAGCAUAUCAAUAAGCGGAGGA